GGACUCGUAGCUUAACUGGAUAGAGCACCUGGUUACGGCCCAGGAGGUUGGGGGUUCGACUCCCUCCGAGUCCUCUA
This 77-nucleotide transfer RNA is filed under the name Marinoscillum sp. RNAcentral's name for it is "tRNA-Arg". It matches the Rfam family "tRNA". Rfam says of the family: Transfer RNA (tRNA) molecules are approximately 80 nucleotides in length. Their secondary structure includes four short double-helical elements and three loops (D, anti-codon, and T loops). Lineage: Bacteria; Pseudomonadati; Bacteroidota; Cytophagia; Cytophagales; Reichenbachiellaceae. The record is from RNAcentral.